UGUCAAGUGUUCAGUGGCACAUGUCGC
Molecule: non-coding RNA, 27 nt
Filed under: Homo sapiens (human)
Lineage: Eukaryota; Metazoa; Chordata; Mammalia; Primates; Hominidae
Source: RNAcentral